RNAcentral lists this ribosomal RNA (468 nucleotides) under uncultured bacterium. RNAcentral's name for it is "partial 16S ribosomal RNA". It matches the Rfam family "Bacterial small subunit ribosomal RNA", at positions 28 to 507 of the family's 1533-position model. The record is from RNAcentral.
GACGAACGCUGGCGGCGUGCUUAACACAUGCAAGUCGAACGGAAAGGCCCUGCUUUUGUGGGGUGCUCGAGUGGCGAACGGGUGAGUAACACGUGAGUAACCUGCCCUUGACUUUGGGAUAACUUCAGGAAACUGGGGCUAAUACCGGAUAGGAGCUCCUGCUGCAUGGUGGGGGUUGGACAGUUUGGGCGGUUGGGGAUGGACUCGCGGCUUAUCAGCUUGUUGGUGGGGUAGUGGCUUACCAAGGCUUUGACGGGUAGCCGGCCUGAGAGGGUGGCCGGCGACAUGGCGACUGAGAUACGGCCCAGACGGCUACGGGAGGCAGUAGUGGGGAAUAUGGCACAACGGGCGGAAGCCUGAGGCAGCAACGCCGCGUGCGGGAUGACGGCCUUCGGGUUGUAAACCGCAUUCGCCUGUGACGAAGCGUGAGUGACGGUAAUGGGUAAAGAAGCACCGGCUAACUACGUG